GAUGAACGCUGGCGGCGUGCCUAAUACAUGCAAGUCGAGCGAAAAGACGAGGAUCUUGCUCCUCUUACGUUAUCGGCGGACGGGGAAGUAACACGUGGCUAACCUACCUAUAACACUGAGAUAACUUCGAGAAACCGGAGCUAAUACCUAAUUAUCUAUUGAACCGCAUGGUUCUAUAGUUAAAGGCGGUUUUGCUGUCACUUGUAGAUGAAUCCGCGCCGGCUUAUCUGCUUGGUAAGGUAACGGCAUCCUACGGCGACGAUGACUAGCCGCCCUCCGAGGGUGAUCGGCCACGGUGGAACUGAGACACGGUCCAGACUCCUACGGGAGGCAGCAGUAGGGAAUCUGACGCAAUGGGCGAAAGCCUGACGGAGCAGCGCCGCGUGAGUGAUGAAGGUGUUCGGAUCGUAAAACUCUGUUAUUAGGGAAGAACAAAUGGGUAAGUAACUAUGCGCGUCUUGACGGUACCGAAACAGAAAGCCACGGCUAACUACGUG
This 497-nucleotide ribosomal RNA is filed under the name uncultured bacterium. RNAcentral describes it as "partial 16S ribosomal RNA". It matches the Rfam family "Bacterial small subunit ribosomal RNA", at positions 28 to 507 of the family's 1533-position model. The record is from RNAcentral.